RNA transcript from Daphnia pulex (common water flea), 1261 nucleotides. It is a transcript of the gene named keratin-associated protein 6-2-like, with no coding region annotated. The record is from RefSeq and is a predicted model, not a curated record. The transcript is spliced from 9 exons. NCBI's taxonomy places the organism in Eukaryota, Metazoa, Arthropoda, Branchiopoda, Diplostraca, Daphniidae.
GUGAUCAUGUCGUCCAAUUUCGCGGUUUUUUCUUCACUACUGUGUUCACGACCAUUCGGAUAUUUGUGAAAUCGAGACAUUGCCCAGGUUGGUUUUCUAUCGAGAGGGACUGAGGGGAAAGGCCGGCCAGCCAACAUCAAAAGAUUGUCCGGAUGAGUGACAGGAAUGUUUCACAGCCUCUCACCAGUUAUGACCGAUUGGUGCUGUUCGGUCCAUUUCGCCCACCGUUCCAUAAAAUACGAUCAGCUCAUCAUGGCAGGGGCGGCGGAAUAUAAUCAAGAAACACACGGCAUGUAUAGAAGGACCCGAGAGAGCUUUCGGGGAGGGAGGAGGAGAAGGGAUGAAGAGAGGACAUCCACAUCCACUGGUUUAAACGCGCUAUUUGGAUGGCUAUUGGUUUGUUUGUUGCUGGCCGUGAUUCUGCUAGAGCGGACCGCUUCGUUACUGCGUCUAAGGUUCACCCAAUUAAGGUUUUAAGGCGGGGACAUCGUAGAUGCAAAUAAUAAAAUAUCAAGGGAGAAGUUGACAGGAGAUUUCACUUGAUGGACCGUGACCUAUUCUAACGAAUACUCACGAAGAAAGACUCAAUAAACUUGAUUACCAGCAUCAAGUAGCCAUGAAAUUGUUUGUUUUUAUGAUCCUCGGAAAAACCUCGUGCAUACCAUUGCGUUCACUCCACACAACAUGCUAAAUUCAAAGUCGAUAUUGGUCGGGAUUAUGUUGAUUCACUGCAUGACUUGUAUUCCAUCAACAACCACUGAACGAUCCAGCGAAGGACAGAAAGAGGAUCAAGAGAUCCAGGAGCAACGCCAUCACCAAGGAUACAGUGGAGGAUACGGGGGCUAUGGCUACGGAUUACCAGUCUAUGGAGGGCCAGUUUACGGAGGAGGCUACGGCGGAGGGCACUACAAUAAUUAUUACGGUAAUGACUAGAUAAGUGUCAACAGACCGUACAUAAACAAAGCGUUUGACGCAUUUCAUUAACGUUCUUAGGUUACAACGGUUACUACCCAUUUCUUAGUUCCAAUAUGAUUGCUGCUGAAUAUGGAGCGGGAUAUGGCACGGGAUAUGGUGCUGGAUAUGGUUCCGGAUAUGGUCCCGGAUAUUUCAAUUACCCAUCGGGAAAUUACGGAACUUACGGCUAUCACGGUUAGAUAGCCAUAACUGCACUUGCACCUUUUAACACCUUUAAAUUUACCCCCAAAUUUUAUAUACACAAAUGGAUCAUGUAAUAUGACAAUAAAUUUGAAUUAAAGGCACA